Molecule: long non-coding RNA, 2623 nt
Organism: Mercenaria mercenaria
Lineage: Eukaryota; Metazoa; Mollusca; Bivalvia; Venerida; Veneridae
Exons: 3
Source: RefSeq, a predicted model, not a curated record
UUAGAUAUCUAAGGGUCAAUAAAAUAUUCUGUUGUUCAGUUGAUGUAUAGAUAGAGAUAACUGAUACCAGAUGGUAUUAUAUUUAGAAACCUCAUCAAGAUAAGAACCAAUGAAGAUGCAAUGUUUGGCUGCCGAAGCUCAAAAAGUAGUCCCAAUUUUUUUCUGUUUCUUUUACUAUUACAAUCAUCUAUGCAAAUUAAAUCAGUAAAUACUUUAACAAAUCCCCCUUGUACUGUACAUACAUAUAUUAUUAGCACUCUAAAUGUUCAAAUCAGAACUUAAGUACACCAAAGGAAAUUGCCCAUGAAUAUGAAAAUUUGAAUGAAUUAACUGUAAACAGGAAGUUCUUUGUUGGAGGAAAAUAAAAUGGAGAUAAACUUUGUUGCUAGAAAUUUUAAAAUGGCUAUUAGACAGACAUUAGAAAAAAUGUUUAUCAGAAGUAUGUCCUCAGAAACACACAUGCAUGAAUCAUGAUCAGUGACCACACUGCAGAAUAGAUUGGGAUCACAGAGAGACAUCAUCAAACAGAUCACAUAUGUUUCAAUAUGAAAUUGUUGGAAAGAAGUUCCCGAACACGACUCCAGUGCUUCUAAAGCUGCCUGAAGCCAACAGAACUCCAAAAAUGUUGUUUUUUUAUGCCCCCGAAGGGAGGCAUAUAGUUUUUGAACCGUCUGUCUGUCUGUCGGUCUGUCAGUCUGUCGGUCUGUCCGCAGUUUUCGUGUCCGGUCCAUAUCUUUGUCAUCAAUGGAUGGAUUUUCAAAUAACUUGGCAUGAAUGUGUACCACAGUAAGACGACGUGCAGUGUGCAAGACCCAGGUCCGUAGCUCAAAGGUCAAGGUCACACUUAGACGUUAAAGGAUAGUGCAUUGAUGGGCGUGUCUGGUCCAUAUCUUUGUCAUCGAUGGAUGGAUUUUCAAAUAACUUGGCAUGAAUGUGUACCACAAUAAGACGACGUGCAGUGCGCAAGACCCAGGUCCGUAGCUCAAAGGUCAAGGUCACACUUAGACGUUAAAGGAUAGUGCAUUGAUGGGCGUGUCCGGUCCAUAUCUUUGUCAUCGAUGGAUGGAUUUUCAAAUAACUUGGCAUGAAUGUGUACCACAGUAAGACGACGUGCAGUGCGCAAGACCCAGGUCCAUUGCUCAAAGGUCAAGGUCACACUUAGACGUUAAAGGAUGGUGCAUUGAUGGGCGUGUCUGGUCCAUAUCUUUGUCAUCGAUGGAUGGAUUUUCAAAUAACUUGGCAUGAAUGUGUACCACAGUAAGACGACGUGUCGCACGCAAGACCCAGGUCCGUAGCUCAAAGGUGAAGGUCACACUUAGACGUUAAAGAUCAUUUUUCAUGAUAGUGCAUUGAUGGGCAUGUCCGGUCCAUAUCUUUGUCAUUCAUGCAUGGAUUUUAAAAUAACUAUGCAUGAAUGUGUGGCACAGUAAGACAAUGUGUCGCGCGCAAGACCCAGCUCCGUAGGUCAAAGGUCCUAAACUCUAACAUCGGCCAUAACUAUUCAUUCAAAGUGCCAUCGGGGGCAUGUGUCAUCCUACGGAGACAGCUCUUGUUUGUUGUAUAAACUGUCAAUAAAUGAUUAUUUAAUAAAUUUUGAACUUGAACAGAAAUAAUUAUUAUUUUUCCCAAUAAAUUCCUGGGAUCCUGGUUUUCUUAGAUUUUCCUCGGAUCCUGGUUUUCUUAGAUUUUCCUCAGAUCCUGGUGUUCCAAGAUUUUCCUGGCUACCAGGUAGAUUCCAGGAUUUUCCUGGUUACCAGGUAGAUUCCAGGAUUUUAUAUUCCUAGGUCAUCCUGGAAUAUUCCUGUUCCAAUACUGCACCUGGUAUUUUCCUGGUCCAGGACCAGGCGUUUCCUGGGAAAUUCCUAGGAAUAUUUCCCAGGAUUUUCUCAGGAAAUUCCCAGGAUAUUCCUGGGAAUUUCUGCACGGGCUAUUUAUUAGUAAAUGACAUUUUCCCCAAUAUGCAAAACUUUCCUCAUCAAAUGCAGGAAAUGCAAUGAAUGUUGUCAAGAACCAAUUACACAAACAUAAACUAGAGGAAAAAACUACAUCUUAUCAGUAUAUUUUAAAAUUACAAUAAGAUUUCAAAAGUACUUAAAUCAUAUUUAUUUAUUUAUUAUCCCCUGACAAAAGUCGGAGGGAUAUAGUUUUGGCGUUGUCCAUCCGUCUUUCCGUCCAUCCGGAGCCAUGUCUAGGAAAUGGUUGGGAAUAUUUAUAUAUUACUUCAUACACAUGUUCACCACUAUGAGUUUUUGUGGCCCGCCAAGUUUCAGUUAGAUUGCCCUAGUAACACCAGAGUUAUGGCCCUUAGAAGUUUCUAGUGUUAACUAUAUAGGGUACUAUAAAUAUGGCAAUUUCUGCAUCAUAACUUUUGAUAUAUUUGACCUAGAACUAUGAAACUUAAACAGACUUUAGAUCACCAUAAUGUGGUUGUGUACACAAAGUCGUUCAGAUUUGUUUUGUAAAUUAAGAGUUAUUGCCCUUUAAUUGUAUAAAAAUCCACAUAUUUGUACAUAACAAACUUACCAUUUGGUAGAAUUUCAUUAAAUUUCUUUCAUUCUUUUCCAUGAACAUUUAUUGUAAACAUGUGAAGUUGUGUACCCACACCUGGUCACCCCCUUACCUU